RNAcentral lists this ribosomal RNA (253 nucleotides) under uncultured bacterium. Its description in RNAcentral is "partial 16S ribosomal RNA". It matches the Rfam family "Bacterial small subunit ribosomal RNA", at positions 524 to 776 of the family's 1533-position model. The record is from RNAcentral.
UACGUAGGGGGCGAGCGUUGUCCGGAUUUAUUGGGCGUAAAGAGCGUGUAGGCGGCCCGAUAAGUCCGCCGUGAAAGUCCAGGGCUCAACCCUGGAAUGCCGGUGGAAACUGUCGGGCUGGAGUCCGGAAGAGGCGAGUGGAAUUCCUGGUGUAGCGGUGAAAUGCGCAGAUAUCAGGAGGAACACCAAUGGCGAAGGCAGCUCGCUGGGACGGUACUGACGCUGAGACGCGAAAGCGUGGGGAGCAAACAGG